RNAcentral lists this ribosomal RNA (253 nucleotides) under uncultured bacterium. RNAcentral describes it as "partial 16S ribosomal RNA". It matches the Rfam family "Bacterial small subunit ribosomal RNA", at positions 524 to 776 of the family's 1533-position model. The record is from RNAcentral.
UACAGAGGGUGCGAGCGUUAAUCGGAAUUACUGGGCGUAAAGCGUGCGUAGACGGUAAUGUAAGUCAGAUGUGAAAGCCCCGGGCUCAACCUGGGAAUUGCAUUUGAGACUGCUCUGCUCGGGUGCGGAAGAGGGAAGCGGAAUUUCCGGUGUAGCGGUGAAAUGCGUAGAUAUCGGAAGGAACACCAGUGGCGAAAGCGGCUUCCUGGUCCGACACCGACGUUCAGGCACGAAAGCGUGGGGAGCAAACAGG